This is a non-coding RNA of Caenorhabditis elegans, 21 nucleotides long. NCBI's taxonomy places the organism in Eukaryota, Metazoa, Nematoda, Chromadorea, Rhabditida, Rhabditidae. The record is from Ensembl.
UUGGUUUUUUCAUCAUAGGUA